UGGAUAGCUCGGUUGGCUAGAUUGUGGCACUGAUAACGCCAAGUUUGCAGGUUCAAUCCCUGUAUGGCACAA
Non-coding RNA from Podarcis lilfordi (Lilford's wall lizard), 72 nucleotides. The record is from the annotation of a GenBank genome assembly. Lineage: Eukaryota; Metazoa; Chordata; Lepidosauria; Squamata; Lacertidae.